UUGAAUGAACUUGGUGUGGUUGUUGCUGGCCCCCUUGGGGGCAUGUGCACACUCGCCAUCCUCAUCUCUCCACCUGUGCACCUUUUGUAGACCUGGAUUGACUUUCCGAGGUAACUCGGUCGGGAAGAUUGUUGCGCUCUGUGAGCCGGCUUUCUUUGCAUAUCUAGGCCUAUGUUUUUCAUAUACCCCAUAGAAUGUAACAGAAUGUAUCAUUGGGCCCUUGUUGCCUAUAAACCAUAUA
Molecule: unclassified non-coding RNA, 241 nt
Filed under: uncultured Alnicola
Lineage: Eukaryota; Fungi; Basidiomycota; Agaricomycetes; Agaricales; Cortinariaceae
Description: sequence contains ITS1
Source: RNAcentral